RNAcentral lists this ribosomal RNA (456 nucleotides) under uncultured Gammaproteobacteria bacterium. Its description in RNAcentral is "bacterial SSU rRNA". It matches the Rfam family "Bacterial small subunit ribosomal RNA", at positions 44 to 489 of the family's 1533-position model. Lineage: Bacteria; Pseudomonadati; Pseudomonadota; Gammaproteobacteria. The record is from RNAcentral.
AGGCCUAACACAUGCAAGUCGAGCGGUAGCACAGAGAAGCUUGCUUCUUGGGUGACGAGCGGCGGACGGGUGAGUAACGCGUGGGAAUCUACCUGGUAGUGGGGGACAACAGUCGGAAACGACUGCUAAUACCGCAUACGCCCUUCGGGGGAAAGUGGGGGAUCUUCGGACCUCACGCUAUCAGAUGAGCCCGCGUCGGAUUAGCUUGUUGGUGAGGUAAAGGCUCACCAAGGCGAUGAUCCGUAGCUGGUCUGAGAGGAUGACCAGCCACACUGGGACUGAGACACGGCCCAGACUCCUACGGGAGGCAGCAGUGGGGAAUAUUGGACAAUGGGGGCAACCCUGAUCCAGCCAUGCCGCGUGUGUGAAGAAGGCCUUCGGGUUGUAAAGCACUUUCAGCUGUGAGGAAAGGUGAGUGGUUAAUACCCGCUUGCUGUGACGUUAACAGCAAAAGAA